CCUACGGGUGGCUGCAGUGAGGAAUAUUGGUCAAUGGCCGGAAGGCUGAACCAGCCAAGUCGCGUGAAGGAAGAAGGAUCUAUGGUUUGUAAACUUCUUUUAUAUGGGAAUAAAACGUUCCACGUGUGGGAUUUUGUAUGUACCAUAUGAAUAAGGAUCGGCUAACUCCGUGCCAGCAGCCGCGGUAAUACGGAGGAUCCGAGCGUUAUCCGGAUUUAUUGGGUUUAAAGGGAGCGUAGGUGGAUUGUUAAGUCAGUUGUGAAAGUUUGCGGCUCAACCGUAAAAUUGCAGUUGAAACUGGCAGUCUUGAGUACAGUAGAGGUGGGCGGAAUUCGUGGUGUAGCGGGGAAAUGCUUAGAUAUCACGAAGAACUCCGAUUGCGAAGGCAGUUCACUGGACUGCAACUGACACUGAGGCUCGAAAGUGUGGGUAUCAAACAGGAUUAGAUACCCCAGUAGUC
This 460-nucleotide ribosomal RNA is filed under the name uncultured bacterium. RNAcentral's name for it is "partial 16S ribosomal RNA". It matches the Rfam family "Bacterial small subunit ribosomal RNA", at positions 338 to 795 of the family's 1533-position model. The record is from RNAcentral.